Molecule: ribosomal RNA, 319 nt
Filed under: uncultured bacterium
Lineage: Bacteria
Description: bacterial SSU rRNA
Rfam family: Bacterial small subunit ribosomal RNA
Source: RNAcentral
AUUGAACGCUGGCGGCAGGCCUAACACAUGCAAGUCGAGCGGUAGAGAGGUGCUUGCAUCUCUUGAGAGCGGCGGACGGGUGAGUAAUGCCUAGGAAUCUGCCUAGUGGUGGGGGAUAACGUUCGGAAACGGACGCUAAUACCGCAUACGUCCUACGGGAGAAAGCGGGGGAUCUUCGGACCUCGCGCCAUUAGAUGAGCCUAGGUCGGAUUAGCUAGUUGGUGAGGUAAUGGCUCACCAAGGCGACGAUCCGUAACUGGUCUGAGAGGAUGAUCAGCCACACUGGGACUGAGACACGGCCCAGACUCCUACGGGAGGC